This 462-nucleotide ribosomal RNA is filed under the name uncultured bacterium. RNAcentral describes it as "partial 16S ribosomal RNA". It matches the Rfam family "Bacterial small subunit ribosomal RNA", at positions 29 to 507 of the family's 1533-position model. The record is from RNAcentral.
AGUGAACGCUGGCGGCGUGCCUAAUACAUGCAAGUCGAACGGAGAUUCAGUAGCUUGCUAUUUAAUCUUAGUGGCGCACGGGUGAGUAAUAUAUAGCUAACUUGCCCAUUACUAAGGGACAACAGUUGGAAACGACUGCUAAUACCUUAUACUCCGUAUCUAUAUAAGUAGAUACGGGAAAGUUUUUCGGUAAUGGAUAGGGCUAUAUCGUAUCAGCUAGUUGGUAAGGUAAUGGCUUACCAAGGCUAUGACGCGUAACUGGUCUGAGAGGAUGAGCAGUCACACUGGAACUGAGACACGGUCCAGACUCCUACGGGAGGCAGCAGUAGGGAAUAUUGCUCAAUGGGGGAAACCCUGAAGCAGCAACGCCGCGUGGAGGAUGACACUUUUCGGAGCGUAAACUCCUUUUCUUGGGAAAGAAUUAUGACGGUACCCAAGGAAUAAGCACCGGCUAACUCCGUG